Unclassified non-coding RNA from Homo sapiens (human), 103 nucleotides. It matches the Rfam family "Y RNA". From Rfam's summary of the family: Y RNAs are components of the Ro ribonucleoprotein particle (Ro RNP), in association with Ro60 and La proteins. The Y RNAs and Ro60 and La proteins are well conserved, but the function of the Ro RNP is not known. NCBI's taxonomy places the organism in Eukaryota, Metazoa, Chordata, Mammalia, Primates, Hominidae. The record is from Ensembl.
GUCACUUCCAAGCCAAGCAGAAAUAUGUAUCAAAUUGAUCACAACCAGGAACAGAUUUCUUUGUUCUUUCUCCACUCCCACUGCUUCCCUUGACUAGCCUUAA